UUAAGAUACUAAGGGCAUACGGUGGAUGCCUUGGCGAUAUCUGCCGAAGAAGGACGCGACAAGCUGCGAAAAGCUACGGGUAGGCGCAAAUAGCCGUUGAACCGUAGAUAUCCGAAUGGAGAAAUCCGGCGGUGGUAAUGCACCGUCACCCAUACCGACCGGUAUGAGGAGGGAACUCGGUGAACUGAAACAUCUAAGUAACCGGAGGAGAAGAAAUCAAACGAGAUACCCCAAGUAGCGGCGAGCGAACGGGGAAGAAGCCUAAACCGAAUAAGGAAACUUAAUCGGGGUUGAGGACCGACAAAAUUAGAGGAAAAGUUAGCCAAAUCUCUUGGGAAAGAGAGCCGAAGACAGUGAGAGCCUGGUAGGCGAAAACAAGAACUCUAAGGACGGAAUCCAGAGUAGUGCGGGACACGAGAAAUCCCGUAUGAAGCAGGGGGGACCACCCUCCAAGGCAAAACACAGAUAUCGACCGAUAGCGCAUAGUACCAUGAGGGAAAGGUGAAAAGCACCCCGGGAGGGGAAUGAAAUAGAACCUGAAACCGUAUGUUUACAAACAGUCAGAGACCGUAUAUAAAACAGGUCGAUGGCGUGCCUAUUGAAGAAUGAACCAGCGAGUUACGAGGGCCGGCAAGGUUAAGCAGGAAAUGUGGAGCCGAAGCGAAAGCGAGUCUUAAUAGGGCGAGAAGUCGGAAAGCGUAGACCCGAAACCACAGUGAUCUACCCAUGUCCAGGUUGAAGCACAGGUAAAAAUGUGUGGAGGACCGAACCUAUAUCUGUUGAAAAAGGUUAGGAUGAGGUGUGGGUAGGGGUGAAAUUCCAAUCGAACGUGGAGAUAGCUGGUUCUCCCCGAAAUAGCUUUAGGGCUAGCCUCAAGUGGUGAUUACAGGCGGUAGAGCACUGAUCAGGAGCGGGACCUACCCGGUUACCAAACCCAGUCAAACUCCGAAUGGCUGUAAUCAAACUUGGGAGUCAGACUACGACUUAUAAGGGCCGUGGUCAAGAGGGAAACAGCCCAGAUCAUCAGCUAAGGUCCCAAAUGCCGUGCUAAGUGGCGAAGGAUGUGGCGUUUCAUAAACAACCAGGAUGUUGGCUUAGAAGCAGCCAUCAUUUAAAGAGUGCGUAAUAGCCCACUGGUCGAGAGACGCUGCGCCGAAGAUGUCCGGGGCUCAAGCACGGAACCGAAGCUAUGGCAGACGCAAGCCGUCUGGGUAGGGGAGCGUUCUUAUUGGGGAGAAGCGAUACCGGAAGGAGUCGUGGACUGAUAAGAAGUGAGAAUGCUGGUAUGAGUAUCGAAAAGAAAGGUGAGAAUCCUUUCCACCGAAAGCCCGAGGGUUCCUGAGCAACGAUCGUCGUCUCAGGGUAAGUCGGGACCUAAGCCGAGGCAAGAAGCAUAGGCGAUGGACAACAGGUUGAAAUUCCUGUACCGGAAGAGUCUGAUUGAGUGAAGGAGUGACGCAGAAGGGCACACAAGCAUGCGAGUGGAAGAGCAUGUCUAAGUGCGUAGCCUGUAUGAUAGGAAAAACCGUCAUACGAGAAGGGUGAGACAUGAAGGGGAGUUAAAGGAGACUUUAAUGAACUUGUGAAUCCCAUGCUGCCAAGAAAAGCUUCUAGCGAGGACUCGUCCGCCCGUACCGUAAACCGACACAGGUAGGCGGGGAGAGAAUCCUAAGGUGCGCGGGAAAACCCUCGUUAAGGAACUCGGCAAAUUGCAUCCGUAACCUAGGGAGAAGGAUGGCCCCCGGUCAGUGAAGAGCAGAAACGCUCAGAGCUAAAAGGGGCGGCAGAAAAGAGGCCCAAGCAACUGUUUACCAAAAACACAGGUGCCUGCGAAAGCGAAAGCUGAAGUAUAGGUGCUGACGCCUGCCCGGUGCCGGAAGGUUAAGGAGAGAAGUUAGCGAAAGCGAAGCAUCGAACUGAAGCCCCGGUGAACGGCGGCCGUAACUAUAACGGUCCUAAGGUAGCGAAAUUCCUUGUCGGGU
RNAcentral lists this ribosomal RNA (1982 nucleotides) under human oral metagenome. RNAcentral describes it as "bacterial LSU rRNA". It matches the Rfam family "Bacterial large subunit ribosomal RNA", at positions 1 to 1977 of the family's 2925-position model. The record is from RNAcentral.